Molecule: non-coding RNA, 1172 nt
Organism: Kogia breviceps (pygmy sperm whale)
Lineage: Eukaryota; Metazoa; Chordata; Mammalia; Artiodactyla; Physeteridae
Source: RefSeq, a predicted model, not a curated record
ACGUUCAGUGCACCUGCACGUGACCCCAAAAUUUAGUCGGGAAGCUGGGUGUUUCACCUCCAGUGAAAGCAAGUGGGAGUGAUAGGAAAGGCUUGGAAAAAGAUCGAGCAGGGGAAGAGAGAGAUGUCGGCAUCUUCUCUCCCUCCUGCAUAAGACCCUUCCAGUAUGUAAUCGCUGACCUGGAGAAAUAAUGCUCGAGUACAGAGUACGGGGCAGAGUUCCAGGUGUCACUGUGCACCCAACCCCCACGAGCUUUGUGAUUCAUCGCAAACGGCCGAUCCGGGAGGAUGAGUAAACUCCGCAAGUACAGUCGUGUCACAGGACAUAAGUGACCAUGGUGCUCAAUAGUUUGGAUAAGAUGAUUCAACUCCAGAAAAACACGGCUAACAUCAGGAAUAUCUGUGUCUUGGCUCAUGUUGACCAUGGAAAAACUACUCUGGCUGACUGUCUUAUAUCUAGCAAUGGCAUCAUCUCCAGUCGCCUGGCAGGCAAGUUAAGGUACAUGGACAGCAGAGAGGAUGAACAUGUCCGAGGGAUCACGAUGAAAUCCAGUGCCAUUUCACUACAUUAUGCAAAAGGGUAGCUUUUACCGUUUCUGAAAAUGACCUCUCCAACGGCAUGGCUUCAUCAGUAGUGACGUGUAGAUCUCCACUUCACCCUCCCUCUGGCAUGGCUACUUUCUGGAUUUUAGCAUCAUCCAGAACUGUUCAUCUUUGACAUUUCAAAUUCAAACACUCCCUUCUCCACAAUCUUUACUCUUCCCAGCUCUCUUGCCUGCGUAGCAAGCUUUAUUCAGUCAUUUCUUAGAAGCUCUCUUACUCAGGGUUGCCUGAGGAAGAGUACUGUAUACUUGCACAACUGAAAAUGUGUGUCUUCCAAUUUCAUUUCAGGUGAGGAGGAGUACCUGAUUAAUCUGAUAGACUCUCCAGGACAUGUGGAUUUCUCCUCAGAAGUAUCGACGGCUGUUUGCAUUUGUGAUGGGUGCAUUAUUGUGGAUGCUGUGGAAGGGGUCUGUCCGCAGGUAGUGGAUUGUAACAUGGAAAUAUUUAACUGCUUAAAGAAGGUGUGGGGAGAGAGGAGGAACUGACUGCCGAUGACUCUGCCACUUGGGACAUUUCACUGACCAUCAGAAAGCUGGUUUUACAUUUCACAUUCAGUAGUGUUCUGGUCUG